CGCGGCCUAUCAGCUUGUUGGUGAGGUAACGGCUCACCAAGGCGACGACGGGUAGCUGGUCUGAGAGGACGAUCAGCCACACUGGGACUGAGACACGGCCCAGACUCCUGCGGGAGGCAGCAGUGGGGAAUCUUGCGCAAUGGGCGAAAGCCUGACGCAGCAACGCCGCGUGGGGGAUGAAGGCUCUCGGGUUGUAAACCUCUUUCAGGAGGGACGAAAAUGACGGUACCUCCAGAAGAAGCCCCGGCCAACUACGUGCCAGCAGCCGCGGUAACACGUAGGGGGCAAGCGUUGUCCGGAAUCAUUGGGCGUAAAGGGCUCGUAGGCGGCUUGGUAAGUCGGUCGUGAAAACCCAGGGCUCAACCCUGGGACGCCGGUCGAUACUGCCAUGGCUAGGGUCCGGUAGAGGAGAGUGGAAUUCCCGGUGUAGCGGUGAAAUGCGCAGAUAUCGGGAGGAACACCAGUAGCGAAGGCGGCUCUCUGGGCCGGUACCGACGCUGAGGAGCGAAAGCGUGGGGAGCAAACAGGAUUAGAUACCCUGGUAGUCCACGCCGUAAACGUUGGGUACUAGGUGUGGCGGACUGAUCAACGUCUGCCGUGCCGAAGCUAACGCAUUAAGUACCCCGCCUGGGGAGUACGG
This 640-nucleotide ribosomal RNA is filed under the name uncultured bacterium. Its description in RNAcentral is "bacterial SSU rRNA". It matches the Rfam family "Bacterial small subunit ribosomal RNA", at positions 232 to 885 of the family's 1533-position model. The record is from RNAcentral.